CAGAGAGAGGAGAGAUCUAGGGUCCUUCCCAGCUCUGGAGUCAAGUGGGACCUAAAUCAGGAGGAGACAGAAGAAUGGCAAGAGGCCAGAUGGUUCAUGCUGGAAUGAAGACUCUUUUCUUGCUCCUCCUCCUGGACCUGACUAACUUCUCCCAGGCUUUCCACUUCUGGAAUUACCACGUGGACUAUCCCAAGACCCAGGUCUCAGGAACACCAGAUCAAUAUUGUAAUGUGAUAAUGCAACGGAGGGGGAUGAUUACACGGAAUCACUGCUUUCAAAUUAAUGCGUUCAUCCACGAGACAAACAGCACUCUCCAAAAUAUCUGUAAAACUAGCCCAAAGACUUGUGGAGGUCCCAGUUGGUUACUAUGUCAUGAAAGUUCCAAACCAUUGAAGUUGACAUAUUGCUCUACACAGUCUUAUGCCCGGCCCCCUAACUGUGGGUAUAAGGCACAGGCCUUUUCUGAAAAGAUCUUGGUAGUUUGUGUACGUGGAUCCCCUAUCUACUUGUUCCAAACCUAAACCUUCCAUGUGGUGAUCCCACUUAUCCAUGACAAUUUUUCCUCUAGUCUUACUCUGUGCUCCCCCCCCCCCCGCCCCACUCAUCUGGAAGCCUCCACUUCAUUCAAAUUUCAACUACUUGCCUGAAUUUCUCACCUUUCCUUUAUUCUGAUAAAAUAGAAUCUUCUUAAAGGCAGAGAUCCCUCCAUUUUUGUUUUUGUAUCUCCUUCGCUUGGUACAUAAUGAAUACUUGAUAAAUAUUUGAUGUUUGAUUGAUUCUUCAUCCAGCUGAUUUUUAUGUGGGCCUUGAUUAUAGAAUGGGGUACUAGAAUUAAAGAUUUCAAAACAGCCUCAAUUCUAUCAAUUUCUAUAUUUUUUGAGGGGGUCUUUCUUUUUAUCUGAAUUCUGUCAGCAGGGGACCAAUAUUUUUUUUAAGUAUUCCUACUUUUUAUUUUUAAAAUUUUUUUAUUUUCAGUUCCAAAUGCCCUCCCUUCUUCCACUUCCUCCCUUACCCAUUUAGAAGGCAAGAAAUAUGUAACUCAUACAUACGAAGUCACAUAAAACAAACUUCCAUGUUAGCCAGAGCCAGUCUUUUGUAAGAACUCUUGGCAUUGCACUUUUUCCCUUAUUUUCUCUUCUUGUAUCCUCAGUAAUGAAUGGAGCUGUGAAGUAAGGGUGAAAAAGAUGUUGGUAGAGGUGACUGGUAUGAUUUUUAAUCUACAGACAUUUUAUGUACCUCAAAUGUGUUGGAUAGAGUUUUUUUCUCCAGCAUUUCACUUUCAAUAAAUUUAAUUGUACUGAUUUAGUGUCUAUGAAU
RNAcentral lists this long non-coding RNA (1317 nucleotides) under Monodelphis domestica (gray short-tailed opossum). RNAcentral's name for it is "lncRNA (ENSMODG00000039436.1)". Lineage: Eukaryota; Metazoa; Chordata; Mammalia; Didelphimorphia; Didelphidae. The record is from RNAcentral.